RNAcentral lists this long non-coding RNA (320 nucleotides) under Dermacentor andersoni. Its description in RNAcentral is "uncharacterized LOC126545208". Lineage: Eukaryota; Metazoa; Arthropoda; Arachnida; Ixodida; Ixodidae. The record is from RNAcentral.
GAGAUCAUCUUGUGGCGGCGGCAGUGCAUGCGUACCAUCCGGGAACUUCGCACCCAAAAGCGGCACAUAUACUACCUUGACAAGACAUGUGUCAACGCUGGACAUACCAAGGAAAAGGUCUGGGAGGACGUGAACGUUACACGCGAGGAUGAGUUUCGGGAAGGGCUCACAACAGGCCUUCGCGCACCCAGCGGCAAAGGUGGCAGGCUGAUCCUAUUGCACGAAGAUAGCGAGGAUGGCUUCGUAAAUGGUGCUUGCCUCGUCUUCCGAGCAGCGAAAGCAGCUGGUGACUGCCACAAAUAAAUGGUUGGGCCACGGUU